RNAcentral lists this ribosomal RNA (328 nucleotides) under uncultured soil bacterium. RNAcentral describes it as "bacterial SSU rRNA". It matches the Rfam family "Bacterial small subunit ribosomal RNA", at positions 26 to 351 of the family's 1533-position model. The record is from RNAcentral.
AGAGUGAACGCUGGCGGCAGGCCUAACACAUGCAAGUCGAACGGCAGCACAGGGGAGCUUGCUCCCUGGGUGGCGAGUGGCGGACGGGUGAGGAAUACAUCGGAAUCUGCCCAAUCGUGGGGGAUAACGUAGGGAAACUUACGCUAAUACCGCAUACGACCUUCGGGUGAAAGCGUGGGACCGCAAGGCCACGCGCGAUUGGAUGAGCCGAUGUCGGAUUAGCUUGUUGGUGGGGUAAAGGCCCACCAAGGCACGAUCCGUAGCUGGUCUGAGAGGAUGAUCAGCCACACUGGGACUGAGACACGGUCCAGACUCCUACGGGAGGCAG